CCAUCGGUGGUUCAAUGGUAGAAUGCUCCCCUGCCACGCGAGGGGCCGGGGUUCGAUUCCCGGCCGAUGCU
RNAcentral lists this transfer RNA (71 nucleotides) under Cordylochernes scorpioides. RNAcentral describes it as "tRNA-Gly". It matches the Rfam family "tRNA". Rfam says of the family: Transfer RNA (tRNA) molecules are approximately 80 nucleotides in length. Their secondary structure includes four short double-helical elements and three loops (D, anti-codon, and T loops). Lineage: Eukaryota; Metazoa; Arthropoda; Arachnida; Pseudoscorpiones; Chernetidae. The record is from RNAcentral.